AGCAGCCGCGGUAAUUCCAGCUCCAAUAGCGUAUAUUAAAGUUGUUGCAGUUAAAAAGCUCGUAGUUGAAUUUCGGGGUCAGUAGAUUGGUCAUGCCUCCGGUAUGCACUGGUCUUACUGGCUCCUCCUUCCUGAUGAACCGUAAUGCCAUUAAUUUGGUGUUGCGGGGAGACUGGACUGUUACUUUGAAAAAAUUGAGUGUUUAAAGCAGGCUAACGCUUGAAUACAUUAGCAUGGAAUAAUGAAAUAGGACGUUCGAUCUUAUUUUGUUGGUUUCUAAGAUUGACGUAAUGAUUAAUAGGGAUAGUUGGGGGCAUUAGUAUUCAAUUGUCAGAGGUGAAAUUCUUGGAUUUAUUGAAGACUAACUACUGCGAAAGCAUUUGCCAAGGAUGUUUUCAUUAAUCAAGAACGAAAGUUAGGGGAUCGAAGACGAUCAGAUACCGUCGUAGUCUUAACCAUAAACUAUGCCGACUAGGGAUCGGAUGAUGUAAUUUUUAAUGACUCGUCGCGCCUUAAC
This 517-nucleotide ribosomal RNA is filed under the name uncultured Glomus. RNAcentral's name for it is "SSU rRNA". It matches the Rfam family "Eukaryotic small subunit ribosomal RNA", at positions 569 to 1092 of the family's 1831-position model. Lineage: Eukaryota; Fungi; Glomeromycota; Glomeromycetes; Glomerales; Glomeraceae. The record is from RNAcentral.